AUCCGUGCGUAGGNGGUUUGUUAAGUCNAUUGUGAAAUCUCUGAGUUCAGCGUGGGNAUGCCAGUGGAUNCGAGCAAGAUAGAUUAUGUCAGAGGAUGGUGUAAUUCCUGAGGUAGCGGUGCAAUUCGUAGAGAUUGGGAGGAGCAUCAGUGGCGAAGGUGAUCAUGUGGGCUACCAUUGCCGUUGAGCCUCAAAAGCAGGGUGAGCAAACAGGAUUAGAUUCCCUGGUAGUGCUCGCCCUAAUCUAUGCGAAUUGGAUGUUGGUCUCAGGUAGGAGAUCAGUGUCGAACAUACUGUGUUAAGUUAGCCUCCUGGGGAGUUCGGUGGCAAGACUGAAGGUUAAAGGAAUAGACGGGGCCCCGCACAAGCGGUGGAGUAUGUGGUUUAAUUUGAUGCAACGCGAAGAACCUUUCGUGCCCUUGCCAUGUCCGGAAUCAAGCAGAGAUGCGGGAGUUCCUUCGGGAAUCGGAACCCAGGUGCUGCAUGGCUGUGUUCAGUUCGUUUCGUGAGAUGUUGGGUUAAGUCCCGCAGCGAGUGCACCCCUUGUCGUUAGUUGCCAGCCAGUAAUGGUGGGAUUUUUAAGGAGUCUCCCGGUGACAAUCCGGAGGAAGUUGGGGAUGACUUCAAGUCAUCAUGGCCCUUACGGCCAGGUCUACCCACGUAUUCNAAUGGUCGGUACAGAGGGUUGCAAUCCCCCGAGGUGGAGCCAAUCCCAGAAACCCGAUCCCAGUCCGGAUCGAAGUCUGCAACUCGACUUCGUGAAGUCGGAAUCGCUAGUAAUCGCAGAUCAGCUAUGCUGCGGUGAAUACGUUCCCGGCCCUUGUACACACCGCCCGUCACCCCAUGGGAGUG
Molecule: ribosomal RNA, 852 nt
Filed under: Dyella sp.
Lineage: Bacteria; Pseudomonadati; Pseudomonadota; Gammaproteobacteria; Lysobacterales; Rhodanobacteraceae
Description: bacterial SSU rRNA
Rfam family: Bacterial small subunit ribosomal RNA
Source: RNAcentral